RNAcentral lists this long non-coding RNA (565 nucleotides) under Mytilus galloprovincialis (Mediterranean mussel). The record is from RNAcentral. Lineage: Eukaryota; Metazoa; Mollusca; Bivalvia; Mytilida; Mytilidae.
AAGAAAUAUUCCCUUUAAUUUGACAGCUGUAGGAAAUUAGCCCUGCGUUUCAUUGCAUAACAAUUUUUCUAAGUCAUAAACACAAAGCUUUUGUGUUUAAAGCACCAUUUUUGGGGGUGUUUCUGUAAUACUUUUUUAUUCUUGAGGAGUUUGAAAUGUUUUUUUGAAAACAGGACUAAAGCUUGUUAACAAGGGGAAAAGGCGGGAGAAUUUGAUUGAUUAACUUUCAGUGAUGGUUAUUAUCUUAUAUGCAAUGAAAUGUUGUGUAAAUAUUGUUAGUUGUACUGGGUAGGAUAAAGCUUUUCUCUGCCAAGUAUUUCUUUAUUUAAAACAAAGAUAUAUUCUGCACAAUAUGUUUUACAAAUUUAACAAAGACCAGUAAGAUAAAUCAGUGGUGGUAUUACUCAAUUACGAAUUAGUGAUAUAUCAUAUAGCAUCAUAAUUUUAACGGUAACAAUAACGAUUUCAAAUCGACAAUUUAUGUUUCAAAUGAUCUUUGGUACAUACCAAUUUACUUUGAAUUUCAACAUGACUUGUAAUGUUUGUGGUUGCUGUUUUGUAAAUA